GGUCGGAUUAGCUAGUUGGUGGGGUAAUGGCUCACCAAGGCGACGAUCCCUAGCUGGUUUGAGAGGAUGAUCAGCCACACUGGGACUGAGACACGGCCCAGACUCCUACGGGAGGCAGCAGUAGGGAAUCUUCCGCAAUGGGCGAAAGCCUGACGGAGCAACGCCGCGUGAGUGAUGAAGGUCUUCGGAUCGUAAAACUCUGUUAUUAGGGAAGAACAAAUGUGUAAGUAACUAUGCACGUCUUGACGGUACCUAAUCAGAAAGCCACGGCUAACUACGUGCCAGCAGCCGCGGUAAUACGUAGGGUGCGAGCGUUAUCCGGAAUUAUUGGGCGUAAAGAGCUCGUAGGUGGUUUGUCGCGUCUGUGAAAUCCCGGGGCUUAACUUCGGGCGUGCAUCGGGUACGGGCAGGCUAGAGUGCUGUAGGGGAGACUGGAAUUCCUGGUGUAGCGGUGGAAUGCGCAGAUAUCAGGAGGAACACCGAUGGCGAAGGCAGAUCUCUGGGCCGUAACUGACGCUGAGGAGCGAAAGCAUGGGGAGCGAACAGGAUUAGAUACCCUGGUAGUCCACGCCGUAAACGAUGAGUGCU
Molecule: ribosomal RNA, 588 nt
Filed under: Aurantiochytrium limacinum
Lineage: Eukaryota; Bigyra; Thraustochytrida; Thraustochytriidae
Description: partial Bacterial small subunit ribosomal RNA
Rfam family: Bacterial small subunit ribosomal RNA
Source: RNAcentral